Molecule: small nucleolar RNA, 178 nt
Filed under: Hyphopichia burtonii NRRL Y-1933
Lineage: Eukaryota; Fungi; Ascomycota; Pichiomycetes; Serinales; Debaryomycetaceae
Description: Small nucleolar RNA snR32
Rfam family: Small nucleolar RNA snR32
Source: Rfam by way of RNAcentral
AACAUCAAUCGCAUGUCCGCCCUUUAUAAAAAGUCAGUUUGAUUCUCUACGGUAUUCAGGCUGAUGAAGGUUUACAAGUGGUCAGAAGCGUAUAGUAAUCAUUAACUUGAAGCACGUUACUGGGCACCCGGUGUUGACAUACUCAAUGGAACAUUGGGAAUCAGUUGUGGCUAAAUCU